Ceratotherium simum simum (southern white rhinoceros) is the source of this 881-nucleotide non-coding RNA. NCBI's taxonomy places the organism in Eukaryota, Metazoa, Chordata, Mammalia, Perissodactyla, Rhinocerotidae. The record is from RefSeq and is a predicted model, not a curated record.
UUUAUUAUGAAAAUAGUUUUGACAUUGCAGACCCACUUAAAGGUCUCAGGGAUGUGGGUCUGGAGACCACUCUGUUCUAAAGUGUCAGUUUGUUCAAAAAAUAUAAGAGAGCAUAAUAAAGGACAAAACUUUUAAAGGUACUUUUAUUUGCCUUGGUUUAUAAUACCUGUAUCUGAAAUGAAACUGCUAAAUAUAUCAAAAGUUUAGUAAGUUCACUCAGGUUUGAUGAGCUUAUUUCUUUGGUUUACUGAUUAUGCUUGCCCUAUGAUAUUAAAGGUUAUUAUUUUUGUGUAAUCUGCCUUUUUGUGCUUUAUGUUUACUUUAUUUUGUCUUUGAUUAUUUAAGAAAAUAAAAAAGUAAAAAACAAAGGUUCCUCACUUAUGAAUGAGCCAGGAUUAUUUAUAGUCAUGUUACCUUCUAUUCUUAUUUUCAAAUAUUUUAUUGUUGCUUUGAAAAAUUAAGUAACCAAGUACUGUUUGUCAGGUACCCAUGAUCCUAUCUUAAUCAAAUAUCCAAUUAUUUUGUGAUAACUCUUUUGAUUUUGCCUUCUAAAGAUCAGACCUAAAUUUAGAAAAAGAUAAAAUAAAAAUUUCAGAAUAUCUUUUACAUCUAAAACUCUUUUUGAAAUUUCCUAGAGGACUCCUAGAAAAUCACAAAGAUUUGUUCUUUCAUCUUAUAAAAAGAGAUGUUAGAAAUAAUUAGGUUUGUUUGAUAUGUUACCAUUGUAAGAGUUUCAUGGAAGGGGAGUUGUUGUCAUAUCUGAGAAGAGAUGCUCAGUGUUCCCUGCAUUAGAUUCAUAUAGGUAAAAUGUUAUUAAUAUAAAUAUUUCAGAAAUUGUAUGCUUUACGGGAAGUGUCUGGAGACUUGACAAUGCCCUUGCU